This is an unclassified non-coding RNA of Aotus nancymaae (Ma's night monkey), 162 nucleotides long. The record is from Ensembl. Lineage: Eukaryota; Metazoa; Chordata; Mammalia; Primates; Aotidae.
UUAAGAUAAGUAGCAGUGCUUUAUUUAUUCACAAAACAGACUCGUUUAGAGCAGAGGGAGUAUGUUUCCCCACAUCAUCAGACCAGCUAACCUGACCUAAAGGGACAGCUUAUAGAUGAGGUUGUAGCUAAAUUUUUAUGGACCAUUUAGUUCUUGGCCUCU